GGCCGACUAGCUCAGUUGGUUAGAGCGUGGUGCUAAUAUCGUUCCUCCUCUGGAGGGUUAUGUUACGCCAAGGUCGUCGGUUCGACCCCGGCGUUGGCCA
RNAcentral lists this transfer RNA (100 nucleotides) under Lentinus tigrinus ALCF2SS1-6. It matches the Rfam family "tRNA". Rfam says of the family: Transfer RNA (tRNA) molecules are approximately 80 nucleotides in length. Lineage: Eukaryota; Fungi; Basidiomycota; Agaricomycetes; Polyporales; Polyporaceae. The record is from Rfam by way of RNAcentral.